This 409-nucleotide ribosomal RNA is filed under the name bacterium. RNAcentral's name for it is "partial 16S ribosomal RNA". It matches the Rfam family "Bacterial small subunit ribosomal RNA", at positions 355 to 776 of the family's 1533-position model. The record is from RNAcentral.
UGGGGAAUAUUGCACAAUGGGCGAAAGCCUGAUGCAGCGACGCCGCGUGAGGGAUGACGGCCUUCGGGUUGUAAACCUCUUUCAGCAGGGACGAAGCGCAAGUGACGGUACCUGCAGAAGAAGCACCGGCUAACUACGUGCCAGCAGCCGCGGUAAUACGUAGGGUGCAAGCGUUGUCCGGAAUUACUGGGCGUAAAGAGUUCGUAGGCGGUUUGUCGCGUCGUUUGUGAAAACCAGCAGCUCAACUGCUGGCUUGCAGGCGAUACGGGCAGACUUCAGUACUGCAGGGGAGACUGGAAUUCCUGGUGUAGCGGUGAAAUGCGCAGAUAUCAGGAGGAACACCGGUGGCGAAGGCGGGUCUCUGGGCAGUAACUGACGCUGAGGAACGAAAGCGUGGGUAGCGAACAGG